Non-coding RNA from Lasiosphaeria ovina, 108 nucleotides. Lineage: Eukaryota; Fungi; Ascomycota; Sordariomycetes; Sordariales; Lasiosphaeriaceae. The record is from the annotation of a GenBank genome assembly.
GCGUCACUGGUUUAGUGGUAAAAUCCAUCGUUGCCAUUCUGAUAUAACAACCAGAAUUCGAGGGGCCCCGCGUUCGAUAGGCCCCGCGUUCGAUUCGCGGCUGACGCG